AAAGGUAGUAGGAUAAAUAGAUUCCAGACGGCUUCUGCCACAGCCGAUCGUCGUCUCCCACGUCAUCGCUGCCGCCACCUGAUCUUGUUCUCUUCUCCGAGGGGGAUAGCGGCCGCGCUCUGCGAUCUCGAGCUGCGACGCCAUCGCACGGAGGGAGAAGAUAACGGUGAGAAACGACGCUCCGCUCCGCUCCCGUCCCCUCCCCUCUCUACUUGUGCUGCUUGCUUUUCUAGAAUUGAUCUCUCCUGCGGAUGGAAUCGCGACUCCGUUCUAUCCUAUGAUCCGUGAAUCGCUCCGCCAUUCACUGCUCUCUGCGGCCGGAUGGCUGUUUAGAUCCCAGUGGUUCUACCGAAUCACUCGGCUCAAUCUUCUGUGGCGUUCGCUAUUGUGUGAGAGGAUUUCUGCCCUUCUCCACGGAGAUUUAUCCUAGGGUUUCACUCUGUGGAUUUAUUUCAAGCCAUCGGGAAGAAAUUUCCUACCCUGCAGAUCCUGAUCUUAUCCGGAACACGAGUAUGAUGAUCGAUCUUCACUUCGAUUUCCUCCCAGAGGAACAUUGUUCCAGUCCGUAGGCUUCGUAUCCCCUCGCCGCAGAGAUGAGGGUUUAUGCCUGUUCAUUCCAACGCGUCGAAUUCAUCCUCGGUUGCUCAUAUCUGCAUGAAGAAGUCAGAGAAUGGAUGAGCACACUUCCAUCGCAUUAAAUCCUUCUUCCUCCACUCCUGAUUCCCUGGCAGCCUCCGAUAGUCAUCCUCGCUUCUCUGUUCCUGAUCCCAUGGCGUACCACUGUCUCUGAAAAUUCUCUCUCUAGUUCCAGGAAAAACCUUGCUCCAAUCUCUCUGUGCAGAUGAAUCUUCUUCCUCACCCUCCCCCCUCCCUGUUCCAUCCCUCUCUUCUCCCCUCUUCCUCCCAAGGAUUCGGACUCCUUGGGCAAUCAAGACAUCAAUCAGGCCGCACAAAGAAAUUUUCUCUUGUUUCCAUGAACAAUCCUAAUCCAAGGCAUCAAUCAGGUCACACAGAUGCCACCGAGCCCUUGAGUGGAACCCUCUGAUCAGCCGUUCUUCGUGUUCUUGCUCCCUGGCUAUAUGACCUCUUCUUCUUCUUCUUCUUCAUCCCAACAGAUCUCAGACCAAUUGACUUAUGUGGGCGUGCUGAAGAACUGAACAGAAAGGAAUGCAUCUCAGAGCAGAAGCUAUAUAGAUCACACAGCUGCUUGCCAUUUCAUGCUGUUUGAUUGAUGCUAUUUAGACGAGGGUUUUUUUUUUUUUGUUUAAUCAGAUGCUUGACGCCUCAUCUUCUGCAUUGCCACACUAGUAGAAAUUUUUCUAUUUAUACGGGCGAGCUGAAGAACUCUUCCUCCAUCAUCUAUCAAAACAUGGCAAGAAACAACAAUACGACUGCUCCGAGGAAUAAAAGCAUUCGUUCAUCAUGUUCAUGUCUCCUUGAUCUCAUUAAGAAAAACAAUUUUUUUUUUGUGGUUCCAUCUUGAAUUUUGAUGUUAAGAAAAAUAGAUAAUUUUGUUUUGACUAAAUUUUCAGAAGAUUUUUAAGUACCUCACCGCAGAAUCUCCCAGGAUCUACAAAAAAACAUGAGUCUGCUCCCAGGAAUAGAAAUAUUCAUUCCUCCUGUUCAUGUCUCUUUUGAUCUCGUGAAGAAAAAGAUGAAUGGAAAUAUUCUUCUAAGCUUUUUUAUUUUUGUUUUUUGGCGCAUCUUGAUUUUUU
This 1715-nucleotide long non-coding RNA is filed under the name Spirodela polyrhiza (greater duckweed). RNAcentral describes it as "long non-coding RNA (SPOL_LNC001879)". Lineage: Eukaryota; Viridiplantae; Streptophyta; Magnoliopsida; Alismatales; Araceae. The record is from RNAcentral.